This 561-nucleotide ribosomal RNA is filed under the name uncultured fungus. RNAcentral's name for it is "eukaryotic LSU rRNA". The stretch from base 178 to 332 matches the Rfam family "5.8S ribosomal RNA". Lineage: Eukaryota; Fungi. The record is from RNAcentral.
GGCGAGGGUUGUAGCUGGCCUUUCGGGGCAUGUGCACGCCCGAGCCUUUAAUCCAACAUACACCUGUGAACCCAAUGUAAGGGCCCGUAAAAAGGCCCCUACGUCUUUAUCACCAACUCUGUAUUCAUAGAAUGUAAUCCAUAUCUUCGCCUUAACAAGCGUUGGUAAAACUUAUACAACUUUCAACAACGGAUCUCUUGGCUCUCGCAUCGAUGAAGAACGCAGCGAAAUGCGAUAAGUAAUGUGAAUUGCAGAUUUUCAGUGAAUCAUCGAAUCUUUGAACGCACCUUGCGCCCCUUGGUAUUCCGAGGGGCAUGCCUGUUUGAGUGUCAUUAAAUUCUCAACUCCGAUUUGAUUUGUUUCUUAUCGGAGCUUGGACUUUGGAGCGUGCUGGCGUAAGGUCGGCUCCUCUUAAAUGUAUCAGCGGAAUCUAACCUUUGGAUUCUGGACAUCGGUGUGAUAAUAAAAGUUGCGCCGUCGUUCUACUUCAAAGUCCGCUUACAAUGGUCUUUUGACAAACUCUUAUCAAAUUUGACCUCAAAUCAGGUAGGACUACCCGCU